This 629-nucleotide ribosomal RNA is filed under the name Pseudister sp. pron plic. Its description in RNAcentral is "eukaryotic LSU rRNA". It matches the Rfam family "Eukaryotic large subunit ribosomal RNA", at positions 402 to 810 of the family's 3401-position model. The record is from RNAcentral. Lineage: Eukaryota; Metazoa; Arthropoda; Insecta; Coleoptera; Histeridae.
AAACCGUUCAGGGGUAAACCUGAGAAACCCGAAAGUUCGAAAGGAGAGAUUCACCGCGACUCGACUCGUCGGCGAGUGCGCGUACGGACGUGCGAUCGCGUGCACUUCUCUCCUAGUAGGACGUCGCGACCCGUCGGGUGUCGGUCUACGAUCGACGGUGGAGCCCGCGAAAACGAUUCACGUCGUCUUUCGCGAACCCGUCGCAUCCGGCCGGCUCGCUCGACGGUAGAACAUGAGGGGCGCGGGGCCGCGACCAGUUCGCGUCCGAACCGUCGCAAGCGUGCUCGGUAAUUCGGUGUACUCGGAGUCCUCGCGUCUCCGGUCUCGGAUCCGGGCUACUGUUCGCGGCGGAUCUCUCGGACAGACUCCGUAUACACGCCCGUCAGCGACGCUAUUACUUUGGGUACUUUCAGGACCCGUCUUGAAACACGGACCAAGGAGUCUAGCAUGAACGCGAGUCUUAGGGACUCUAAAUUAAAGAACUAAACCUUGAGGCGCAAUGAAAGUAAAGAUCCGCCUUGCGCGCGAUCUAGGGAAUACGGGUGCCGGUCCUUCGCGGGACCGAACCCUGCACUCCCGGGGCGUCUCGAUUUCAUCGCGAGAUGAGGCGCAUCCAGAGCGUACACGCU